This 497-nucleotide ribosomal RNA is filed under the name uncultured bacterium. RNAcentral's name for it is "partial 16S ribosomal RNA". It matches the Rfam family "Bacterial small subunit ribosomal RNA", at positions 28 to 507 of the family's 1533-position model. The record is from RNAcentral.
GAUGAACGCUGGCGGCGUGCCUAAUACAUGCAAGUCGAGCGAACGGACGAGAAGCUUGCUUCUCUGAUGGUAGCGGCGGACGGGUGAGUAACACGUGGAUAACCUACCUAUAAGACUGGGAUAACUUCGGGAAACCGUAGCUAAUACCGGAUAAUAUUUUGAACCGCAUGGUUCAAAAGUGAAAGACGGUCUUGCUGUCACUUAUAGAUGGAUCCGCGCUGCAUUAGCUAGUUGGUAAGGUAACGGCUUACCAAGGCAACGAUGCAUAGCCGACCUGAGAGGGUGAUCGGCCACACUGGAACUGAGACACGGUCCAGACUCCUACGGGAGGCAGCAGUAGGGAAUCUUCCGCAAUGGGCGAAAGCCUGACGGAGCAACGCCGCGUGAGUGAUGAAGGUCUUCGGAUCGUAAAACUCUGUUAUUAGGGAAGAACAUAUGUGUAAGUAACUGUGCACAUCUUGACGGUACCUAAUCAGAAAGCCACGGCUAACUACGUG